This 860-nucleotide unclassified non-coding RNA is filed under the name Helichrysum arwae. RNAcentral's name for it is "contains 5' external transcribed spacer, ETS". The record is from RNAcentral. Lineage: Eukaryota; Viridiplantae; Streptophyta; Magnoliopsida; Asterales; Asteraceae.
GUUGCGUCACAGGUCAAUUUAAUCACGACUUAUGAGUGACAAUAUANNCGAUGUCGAAGGGAUUGUAACCCAACAAGUGGGGAGUUCGAUUUGGUUGGGACAAAUUGAACGAUCUGCGGUAGCAACGAUAAUGGCGUGGUGUGGAUGCAAGUUGAGCCAUGUCUGGAUGUUGUUGUUACUUUGUGAUGCUAGGGGUUUCUUGGUUGAACUUCUUCGUUAUUGCUGAUGACAUUCGUCUCGAGGUGAUGCGGUGUCAUGUAGCUCGUGUAUCCUGCUUUCUAGCUAUUGAGCUUAAAACAUGUGGAUUAUCGGUUAGCGACACAGCAUCGCUCCCUUGGUUGAUGAAAGUCGUCCAAUGAUGUGGUGGUUUGUUUAUUUUGUUCUCGCAUCGCUCGGUGCAUUCUGUGGUCAUUUUGGCUGUUGGCUGCUUGCUUGGCAAUUGAGCUUGGUGGGUGGCUACCGGUUGGGUGUCUUCGGGGAUGUCUACCGUAAAGGUGCAUGAGUGGUGUUUGGUUUGUUACGGGUGGUUGGCUCUUUGCUUGCGCAACAACUUCUACCCGGCAUACCUCUUCAGUCUUGUGUCGAUGCUUGUAUUGCAUUGAAUGCACGGCGGGUUUCUUGUGUUGCAUGCCUAAUUAAUGGUACCGUUUGAUGAAUUGGUUUUCCCUUCGUCUUGCGUUGCUUACGUAAUGUGAGAUGAACCUCAAAGCAGCCUUUGUGAUCCACUCUUUUGAUGCAUUCGCAUUGAUUUUGUGGCCCAUUGCGUGUUGCUCGGUCUCAUGGAUAUGGAACCUGGUGCGGGCAUGGAAUCUUAAUGGUUCCUUGCUUGCCCAUGUUUAGCUUUUCUAAACCGAGUGUCU